GAGUGUGUGUGGAGCGUGGUGGAACCACCCCGUCCCAUCCCGAACCGGGUCGUGAAACGCCGCAGCGCCGAUAUUACUGGGGCCUGAGCCCUGGGAAGGUAGGUCCACGCACUCG
RNAcentral lists this ribosomal RNA (115 nucleotides) under Candidatus Viridilinea mediisalina. Lineage: Bacteria; Bacillati; Chloroflexota; Chloroflexia; Chloroflexales; Oscillochloridaceae. The record is from RNAcentral.